RNAcentral lists this ribosomal RNA (250 nucleotides) under uncultured bacterium. RNAcentral describes it as "partial 16S ribosomal RNA". It matches the Rfam family "Bacterial small subunit ribosomal RNA", at positions 57 to 305 of the family's 1533-position model. The record is from RNAcentral.
GCAAGUCGCACGGGGCGUGUUGGGUAGUAAUAUUUGACACGUUCAGUGGCGCACGGGUGAGUAACACGUGAAUCACAUGCCCUUCAGUGGGGGAUAGCCCAGGGAAACUUGGAUUAAUACCCCAUGGUCUCGCAAGAGUAAAGGCGGCCUUUAAGGCAGUCGCUGGAGGAUUGGUUCGCGCCCUAUCAGCUUGUUGGGGGGGUAACGGCCCACCAAGGCUACGACGGGUACCUGGUCUGAGAGGACGAUC